CACAGCGGUUAAACGAAUGGCCCCAGUUGACAGACCUACGGCGUAAAGGGUGGUUAGUGCAACCUUCUAACUAAGGCCGAACGCCUUCACGGUUGUUUAAAGCUCCUGAAGAUUGGAAGUACAUCGACGAAAGUGGCCUUAAAACUCACGACACCACAAAAGCUAGGGAA
Molecule: ribosomal RNA, 170 nt
Filed under: Eviota distigma (twospot pygmy goby)
Lineage: Eukaryota; Metazoa; Chordata; Actinopteri; Gobiiformes; Gobiidae
Description: partial 12S rRNA
Source: RNAcentral